RNAcentral lists this ribosomal RNA (499 nucleotides) under Trapezia bidentata. Its description in RNAcentral is "partial large subunit ribosomal RNA". It matches the Rfam family "Bacterial large subunit ribosomal RNA", at positions 1830 to 2574 of the family's 2925-position model. Lineage: Eukaryota; Metazoa; Arthropoda; Malacostraca; Decapoda; Trapeziidae. RNAcentral also lists the same sequence under 1 other name. The record is from RNAcentral.
UGUCUAUAUGAAGAUAUUUAUAGUCUGGCCUGCUCCCUGACUAUAAAGUUAAAGAGCCGCGGUAAUUUGACCGUGCAAAGGUAGCAUAAUCAUUAGUUUCUUAAUUGGGAACUUGUAUGAAAGGUCUGACAAAGAAAAAGCUGUCUUUAUUAUGAAAGUUGAAUUUAACUUUUAAGUGAAAAGGCUUAAAUAAUUUAGAGGGACGAUAAGACCCUAUAAAGCUUUAUAUAAAAAAUAAUUAAAAUUAAAUUUAUAAUAAAGAUUUAAAUUAAUUAUUAUAUUUUAUUGGGGUGAUAAUGAUAAAAAUAAUAUUAACUGUUGAAUAAAUAUACAUAAAUAAAAGAGUUAAGUUAGUUAAUGAUCCUUAUUUAAAGAUUAAAAGAUUAAGUUACUUUAGGGAUAACAGCGUAAUUUUUCUUGAGAGUUCAUAUCGAAAGAAAAGAUUUCGACCUCGAUGUUGAAUUAAGAUAUCUAUGUAAAGCAGUCAUUACAUAAGAAG